GUUCGCCAAAGAUUGGUUGCUCAGGGAAAGUUGGAAGUAUGAUGUAAGUUGUCGGAAAGGACCAUAUUGACAUAUUCUGAAAAGAAGUAACUCUUGUUCGGAAGUGAUAGUCAAAAUGGGACUAUGGAAAUGUCUCCAUAGGUGGAAGUUAUUCAAUCUAUGUAAGAUUAGAAAACCUUAAUGCAAGAAGGAUGUUCAAAGCAAUGUACUUUGAAUAUGAGACUUCCGUUCCAUAGAAGUUGACCUUCUUUGGAAUACUCUGUAAUGACUGGUGACAAGGUUUUGGUGACUUUGUGCAUAAUCAUUACAAGAGGAACAUUGCAUAAAAGUUUAAAAUCUAACAGUUUUUUUGGUAAAUGAUAGGAAUCGGGGAUUCUCACAUUUACAAUAAGGAUUUGGGAUUGUGAAAUGAGUAUCAUUGGAAUCAUGUUCAAUUGAUCUACAUCACAAUGUAAGGAUCAUAGACAAACAUAGUGUGCAUACUUGGAGUAUGGCAUAACUAUUGUUUAGAAAAACAAAGUGUACAUGCUAGGAGCAUGGGACGACUGUUGUUUUUAUUCAAGUCUUAAGUUGAUUGUUUGAAACAUUAUACAAUGAAUAAUGUGUAAUCAAUAUGGUGAUAAAUAAAAGGUGGUUCUAUUUAUAUUCAAAAGGGUUCUGAGACCAUAUUGGAUUCGAUUAUUAUUGUGUUUCACUUUGCAUGUUUUGACUUCCAAAAUAGCUAGGUUAUUCUUUCCGAAUGACUAAGUUAUUUAAACACUCCACAGUCGUUCAUAUGUUGGAAGUAGGUAUGAAUCAAGACUGUCAUGAAUCGAGUUUGUAGAUGGCUAAAUGGGUUUAGUCAUAGCAAUGGUUGCUACAACAUUCAUGAGUGCUCAUAAGUUAUGAGUAUUGGAAUAAACCCACGCUCACUUGUAUCACUUCAUGGAAUUUAUCUCGAGUGAUCGUGAGACGGUAAUAUCAUAUAAAUCUUCAAACCUAGAGAUAUGAGUUGUUACCUAUGAGUUGGUUGUGCAUUGAUUGCACGUAAACGCAUCAGUAACUUGAUGUUAUAAAACGUGCCUUUGUGUACAAUUCAACAAGUAGUAGAACAAGCAUAUGAGUCGAAGUUUAUCUGUUCCUUCUAGAAAUAGAAGCGAUAUCUGGGCCCCUCGAUGAUUUUGUUGUGACCUAUGUACCGGCCGGUCAGAACUAAAUUGAUGUGUUCGAUUAAGUUCUUUGUCAAACAAAUCGAAAAUCGGGAAACAAACUGCUGGACAAUAAGUACGACGUUGUUCCAUGUAUUUGUCCGGCUGAUAUCAUGAGAACAGAGGAUUAUAUGAUCACUUAUCUAAAAUGGCGCUUCAUAGUUCAACAGAGUUUUCGAGAGCUACGAUUGCUGGUUGGUUCCUGAAGUAACAUACGCAAAUAUAGUUAUUAGACUUAUCCAAGUGGGAGUCUGUUGGAUAAGGUGUCUAAGUCCAUAACUUAUUUGGUAUAUACUUGACCCGACCCGGCAUGGUCCAUUUGGGUUGCAUUUCAUCCAAACUAUUUAUGGAUAAUUUUAUGAGAGUUAUACACAUAUGUUUAUUAAUAUAUUAUAAGUUAUAAUAUAUUAAUAUGAAGUCAUGUUAUUUAAUUAGUCUUAGUCUUAAAUUAAUUAUGAAUUAAUUUAGAGAUUAAAAGGAAGACUAAUUAGAUUAUGGGCUAUUGGUUUUAUAUGGUGUGGGCUAACACUCAUUUGUUAAUGGGCUAGGCUUGUAUGGAAGUCCAUGGAUGAUCCAUGGAGCUUUUAACCCAUGGAUCCUUGGAAAAGGAAAGGUCAUGGGUUAUUAGGGUUUCACCCUAAUCAUGUACACUAUAUAAGCAUGCUUAUGUUGCAUGAAAUAGCCACUAGUGGCACUAGUUGUGUGAGACCUUGUGUGUGGCCGAUUUUAUAGUGUGUAUACACUCUCUCAAAUUUUUCCAAGAGUUUGUGGUGAUUUGUGAUUCCAUUUGAGGCAUUCACACUAUUGGUGCUUGGCCCUCAAACUCCUUAGGAAUCAAACUCAUCAUCAAAAGGUAUGUAAUCUCAUCUAAUUCUUUUAUGUUUAAAAGUACCCCAUGCCAUGUUAGAUAGGUUAUGAACCUUGGAAAAUUAUUGUUUUGCAUGUAUUUAGACAAACAUAGAUCCAAGGUUUAUUAGGGUUGCAUGCACACUUAGGAAGUGUUAGAUUGCUCAAAACCCAACAAUAAAUCCUUCGGUUACCUCUUCUACACACCUAGUGAUAUUGUACUCUUUGUAUUAAGGAGGGGAGUCUUUCACGAGAGAGAGUUCAUAAGCCACGGAAAUAGUGGGAGGCAUAUUAAUCUUGAAGAGAUUCAAGAGUCAAGUGGUGAAGGAACCUCAAACCAUAGAAAUCAACCUUAGGAGGAAACUCCUGUUAAUCUGACUGAUGAGUUUGUACCUCUGAGGUGUUCCAAGAGAGUUAAGAAUGCACCUAAGCAUUACUAUUGUUUCUAUAUUCCUACAGAAGGUGAUACACUUAUUAGUGACAACACACUGAUAGGUCUAGAUGAACCUAACAACUACACAGAAGCCAUGGCAGGCCCUGAGGCUGCUAAAUGGAAAGAGGCUAUGGACAACGAGAUACAGUCCAUGUAUGACAAUUAAGUUUGGAACUUGGUUGACAAUGUACCGGGUAGUAAGACAGUUGGGUGCAAAUGGAUCUUCAAGAAAAAGACCGACAUGGAUGGUAAUGUGCACACUUAUAAGGUGUGACUGGUUGCAAAUGGCUUUUCUUAAACUCCGGGAGUUGAUUAUGUUGAGACCUUUUCAACAGCAGCGAAGAUUAUGUCUAUUAGGGUUAUGUUAGCCAUUGCUACAUUUCAUGAUUAUGAAGUAUGGCAAAUGGAAGUCAAAACCGCAUUCCUUAAUGGAAAGUUGGCUGAGGAUGUUUACAUAAGUCAGCCAAAGGGACUUGUCAGCACAAAGUACCCUAAUAGAGUGUGUAAGCUUGAGAAAUCCAUUUAUGGAUUGAAACAAGCACCUCGCAGAUGGAAUCUUUGUUUCGAUGAGAAAGUCAAAGAGUUUGGUUUUUCGAGGAGUGAAGAUGAAUCUUGUGUAUAUGUAAAGGCUAGUGGGAGUAUAGUUAGCUUUCUGAUACUGUAUGUGGAUGACAUACUACUCAUGGGAAAUGACAUCCCAACUUUGCAGGACGUUAAGUCCUAGCUUGGGAAGUGUUUCGCUAUGAAGGACCUUGGAGAAGCUGCCUAUAUCCUCGAGAUAAGGAUUUUGAGAGACAGGAGUAAAAGACUAAUUGGACUUAGUCAGAAUACCUACUUGGAUAAGGUGCUGAAUAGGUUCAGCAUGCAGAAUUCCAAGAAGGGCGAGUUACCGAUCCAGAGUAACGCCAUAUUGAGUAAGACUUAGAGCUCGAGUAAAGAGGUUGAGAUAGCUGAGAUGAGUCGAGUGUUGUAUGCUUCCGAUGUAGGGUCGAUGAUGUAUGCUAUGACUUGUACGCAUUCUAAUAUGGCCUUCGCAUUGAGCAUGGUCAUCAUAUAUUAGGGGAACCCUGUAAAGGCUUACUAGACUACGGUAAAGAACAUUCUCAAGUACCUGCGGUGGACUAAGAACUAGGUCCUUACCCUCAGUGGGAGUGAUGACUUGACAUUAGUAGGGUAUAGUGAUGCUAGCUUCCAAACUGAUAGGGAUAAUUUCCACUCUCAGUCAGGCUGGGUCUUUACCCUAAACAGAGGAGCAAGUACUUGGAAAAUGUCUAAGCAGGAGACAAUGGAUGAUUUAACCUGCGAAUCAGAGUAUAUAGCGGAAAGCGAGGCAGAAAAGGAAGCUAUAUCGCUAUAGAACUUCAUUGGAGACUUUGGAGUUGUACCGACGAUUAAGGAGCCUAUGGAGAUUUUCUGUGAUAGUAAAGUGCAGUUGCCUUAGCCAAGGAACCAAGGAUCACGGGAGAUCUAGACACAUCGACAGAAAAUACCAUUUAUCAGACAUCAAAUAGAAGAAGGAAUCCUCAUGCAAAAGAGGGUAUCUUCGAAUGGGAACCCAACAUAUCCCCUCACGAAGGGACUGGGUAGGGUUAAACAUAUCCAACAAAUGAGGCGCAUACAGCUGAAGGAUGAUAUUAGCUUUAUUAGCUAGAUAGUUUUGGAAUUUGUAAAAUGUAAUUGACAUUUGAUGAUAAAUAAAAGUUGUUGUUUAUUUAUAAGUAUAAGUGUUGCUAUCUUUUGUCAAUCGUUUACUAUCAUUUUCAUUUUGCAUGUUUUGACUUCCAAAACAAUUAUGUUAUGGUAUAUCAUAUUAUUCAACUUCUCCAUAGUCGGUCAUAUGUUGGAAAUAGAUAUGAAUCAAUACUGUCAUGAGUUGGCUUGUAGAUGUCUAAGUUGUUGGACAUAGGUGGAAGUUAUUCAAUCUAUGUAAGAUUAGAAAACCUUAAUGCAAGAAGGAUGUUCAAAGCAAUGUACUUUGAAUAUGAGACUUCCGUUCCAUAGAAGUUGACCUUCUUUGGAAUACUCUGUAAUGAUUGGUGACAAGGUUUUGGUGACUUUGUGCAUAAUCAUUACAAGAGGAACAUUGCAUAAAAGUUUAAAAUCUAACAGUUUUUUUGGUAAAUGAUAGGAAUCGGGGAUUCUCACAUUUACAAUAAGGAUUUGGGAUUGUGAAAUGAGUAUCAAUGGAAUCAUGUUCAAUUGAUCUACAUCACAAUGUAAGGAUCAUAGACAAACAUAGUGUGCAUACUUGGAGUAUGGCAUAACUAUUGUUUAGAAAAACAAAGUGUACAUGCUAGGAGCAUGGGACGACUGUUGUUUUUAUUCAAGUCUUAAGUUGAUUGUUUGAAACAUUAUACAAUGAAUAAUGUGUAAUCAAUAUGGUGAUAAAUAAAAGGUGGUUCUAUUUAUAUUCAAAAGGGUUCUGAGACCAUAUUGGAUUCGAUUAUUAUUGUGUUUCACUUU
RNAcentral lists this long non-coding RNA (4929 nucleotides) under Lactuca sativa (garden lettuce). RNAcentral describes it as "long non-coding RNA (LSAT_LNC009417)". The record is from RNAcentral. Lineage: Eukaryota; Viridiplantae; Streptophyta; Magnoliopsida; Asterales; Asteraceae.